Molecule: ribosomal RNA, 301 nt
Filed under: uncultured bacterium
Lineage: Bacteria
Description: partial 16S ribosomal RNA
Rfam family: Bacterial small subunit ribosomal RNA
Source: RNAcentral
CAGCCGCCACGGUAAUACGUAGGGUGCAAGCGUUAAUCGGAAUUACUGGGCGUAAAGCGUGCGCAGGCGGUUAUAUAAGUCAGAUGUGAAAUCCCCGGGCUUAACCUGGGAACUGCAUUUGAAACUGUCAGGCUGGAGUCUUGUAGAGGGGGGUAGAAUUCCAGGUGUAGCGGUGAAAUGCGUAGAGAUCUGGAGGAAUACCGGUGGCGAAGGCGGCCCCCUGGACAAAGACUGACGCUCAGGUGCGAAAGCGUGGGGAGCAAUCAGGAUUAGAUACCCCAGUAGUCCCUGUCUCUUAUAA